RNAcentral lists this long non-coding RNA (486 nucleotides) under Macaca mulatta (Rhesus monkey). RNAcentral's name for it is "lncRNA (ENSMMUG00000062544.1)". Lineage: Eukaryota; Metazoa; Chordata; Mammalia; Primates; Cercopithecidae. The record is from RNAcentral.
GGAGCGGGGAGGCAGAGGAGUCCAGCUGCGGAAAGGGGAGCAGGCCUGGAAGCUGCCCGGGCUUGUGUUUCCGGGGGUGGAGGUCUCCUCCUACCCCACUGAGGAACGGUGCGCGCGGAUGGGCUGAGAGCUCUGCCUGGGCUGGUCCCAAAGCCUAGCCGGCUGCCUGCGGACCCACGAGACAACAGUCACAACUUCACCUGCUUAUCAUGAAAGCUCCAUGUGACAACAAUGUGAGAACGCCAGUGAAGGGCAUUUGAAAAACAAAGGGAUUCAUGAAUGGGGUCCCUCACCAGCGACCAACCCCCUGCCCUCACCGGUGCCCUGGGAACUACACAAGAAUUCACAGAUGGAGUUUUCCCCUGUCUCCGGGCUGGGGUGCAGUAGUGUGAUCUCAGCUCACUGCAACCUCCGCCUCCCAGGUUCAAGCAUUUCUCCUGCCUCAGACUGCUGAGUAGCUGGAACUACAGGUGCCCGACAGCCUAA